Molecule: ribosomal RNA, 267 nt
Filed under: Arachnodes sp. 1 HKW-2010
Lineage: Eukaryota; Metazoa; Arthropoda; Insecta; Coleoptera; Scarabaeidae
Description: partial 28S ribosomal RNA
Rfam family: Eukaryotic large subunit ribosomal RNA
Source: RNAcentral
GAGUCAUUGGGACUCUGUUAAACCUAAAGGCGUAAUGAAAGUAAAGGUCCGCCUCGCGCGGACCGAGGGAGGAUGGGCCCGUCCACGGGCGGGCCCCGCACUCCCGGGGCGUCUCGUUCUCAUCGCGAGAAGAGGCGCACCCAGAGCGUACACGCUGGGACCCGAAAGAUGGUGAACUAUGCCUGGUCAGGACGAAGUCAGGGGAAACCCUGAUGGAGGUCCGUAGCGAUUCUGACGUGCAAAUCGAUCGUCGGAACUGGGUAUAGG